This 596-nucleotide unclassified non-coding RNA is filed under the name Aeromonas hydrophila. RNAcentral's name for it is "partial contains 16S ribosomal RNA, 16S-23S ribosomal RNA intergenic spacer, and 23S ribosomal RNA". Lineage: Bacteria; Pseudomonadati; Pseudomonadota; Gammaproteobacteria; Aeromonadales; Aeromonadaceae. The record is from RNAcentral.
GGGACUGGGGUUGGAUCACCUCCUUACCUUAAGAUGUCGUGUUGUUGAGUGUUCACACAGAUUGCCUUGAUUCAAGUUUAUUGACAGUAAACCCAGUGGGUCUGUAGUCCAUGUGGUUUUGGCGCACCCCUGAUAAGGGUGAGGUCGGUGGUGGUUUUGGGACAGACCCACCGGUUCUUUGCCUAUUAUGGGGCUAUAUCUCCACUGGCCGAGCGCCUGCUUUGCACCCCAGAGGUCUGCGGUUUUGGGUCCCCUUCUCCACCAUAAUCGGUACUGAAUUUUUUCAGAAGCAAAACCCGGGUUUUGAACCCUGUUGGGACUCCGUCUUUCAUUUCUUUAAGAAGUAUGCUCUUUUACAAACUGGAAAGCUGAUUUAAAUUUUAUUUCUCAAACAUUUGUUACAACUGCUUUUUUAACUUCUUGGAAAAAACAAAUUAAAAUUUGGUCCUUGUUGUUGGUAACAAGCUUUGGAAACUUCACUGGACACAAACCAGAGGUUGUAUGGUUCAUUGUCUAAGCGUACAAGGUGGAUGCGUUUCACCGACACUUCUUGGGGGUGUAUGGGUAAAUGACUAAAGCUACAUGGUGGAUGCCUU